GAUGAACGCUAGCGGCAGGCCUAACACAUGCAAGUCGAGGGGCAGCACAUAAAGUGGUUUACUACCUUUGGUGGCGACCGGCGGACGGGUGCGUAACGCGUAUGCAACCUGCCUCCAACAGGGGGAUAACGGAGAGAAAUUUCCACUAAUACCCCAUAAUAUCAGAAUCGGCAUCGGUUUUGGUUGAAAACUACGGUGGUUGGAGAUGGGCAUGCGUUGUAUUAGAUAGUUGGUGAGGUAACGGCACACCAAGUCAACGAUACAUAGGGGGACUGAGAGGUUAGCCCCCCACACUGGUACUGAGACACGGACCAGACUCCUACGGGAGGCAGCAGUGAGGAAUAUUGGUCAAUGGGGGCAACCCUGAACCAGCCAUGCCGCGUGCAGGAAGACGGCUCUAUGAGUUGUAAACUGCUUUUACAAGGGGAUAAAUCGGUGUACGUGUACACCGUUGAAGGUACCUUGGGAAUAAGGAUCGGCUAACUCCGUGCCAGCAGCCGCCGUAA
RNAcentral lists this ribosomal RNA (506 nucleotides) under uncultured bacterium. Its description in RNAcentral is "partial 16S ribosomal RNA". It matches the Rfam family "Bacterial small subunit ribosomal RNA", at positions 28 to 523 of the family's 1533-position model. The record is from RNAcentral.